AGAGUUUGAUCAUGGCUCAGGAUGAACGCUGGCGGCGUGCUUUAGGCAUGCAAGUCGAACGCUCCGUCUUCGGGCGGAGAGUGGCAGACGGGUGAGUGACGCGUAGGAAUCUACCCUUUGGUUAAGGAUAGCCCCGAGAAAUCGGGAGUAAUCCUGGAUAAGCCCCGCCGUUUUUGAUAGGAGACGAACUUUGGUGGUUCGUCUUUUGCCGAAAACGGCUGGGGAAAGGCCGUAACUGGUCGCCGAAGGAGGAGCCUGCGUCCUAUCAGCUUGUUGGUGAGGUAAUGGCUUACCAAGGCGACGACGGGUAGGGGACGUGAGAGCGUGACCCCCCACAAUGGGAUUGAGAUACGGCCCAUACACCUACGGGUGGCAGCAACCAGGAAUCGUUCGCAAUGGGCGAAAGCCUGACGACGCGACGCCGCGUGCGGGAUGAAGGCCUUCGGGUUGUAAACCGCUGUGGUUAGGGAAAAGAGAGGAUGGUACCUGACUAGAAAGCCCCUGCUAACUACGUGCCAGAAGCCUCGGUGAAACGUGGGGGGCAAGCGUUAUCCGGAUUUAUUGGGCGUAAAGAGUUCGUAGGCGGUUUUUUAAGCCACGAGUUAAAUCCUUCGGCUCAACCGAAGACCGGCUCGUGAUACUGAAAGACUUGAACCUCGUAGGGGAUGCUGGAAUUUGCGGUGUAGCAGUGAAAUGCGUUGAUACCGCAAGGAACGUCGAGGGCGAAGGCAGGCAUCUGGGCGAGUGUUGACGCUAAGGAACGAAAGCUAGGGUAGCAAAUCGGAUUAGAGACCCGAGUAGUCCUAGCCGUAAACGAUCCUCGCUA
Molecule: ribosomal RNA, 826 nt
Filed under: uncultured bacterium
Lineage: Bacteria
Description: bacterial SSU rRNA
Rfam family: Bacterial small subunit ribosomal RNA
Source: RNAcentral